RNAcentral lists this ribosomal RNA (247 nucleotides) under uncultured bacterium. RNAcentral describes it as "partial small subunit ribosomal RNA". It matches the Rfam family "Bacterial small subunit ribosomal RNA", at positions 26 to 285 of the family's 1533-position model. The record is from RNAcentral.
AGAAUCAACGCUGGCGGCGUGCCUAACACAUGCAAGUCGAACGAGAAAGGGACCUUCGGGUCCUGAGUAAAGUGGCGCACGGGUGAGUAACACGUGACUAACCUACCCUUGAGUGGGGAAUAACUUCGAGAAAUCGAGGCUAAUUCCGCAUAAUACCUACGGGUCAAAGGAGCAAUUCGCUUAAGGAGGGGGUCGCGGCAGAUUAGCUAGUUGGCGGGGUAAUGACCCACCAAGGCAGUGAUCUGUA